Molecule: ribosomal RNA, 467 nt
Filed under: uncultured bacterium
Lineage: Bacteria
Description: partial 16S ribosomal RNA
Rfam family: Bacterial small subunit ribosomal RNA
Source: RNAcentral
GACGAACGCUGGCGGCGUGCUUAACACAUGCAAGUCGAACGGAAAGGCCCUGCUUUUGUGGGGUGCUCGAGUGGCGAACGGGUGAGUAACACGUGAGUAACCUGCCCUUGACUUUGGGAUAACUUCAGGAAACUGGGGCUAAUACCGGAUAGGAGCUCCUGCUGCAUGGGGGGGGUUGGAAAGUUUCGGCGGUUGGGGAUGGACUCGCGGCUUAUCAGCUUGUUGGUGGGGUAGUGGCUUACCAAGGCUUUGACGGGUAGCCGGCCUGAGAGGGUGACCGGCCCCAUUGGGACUGAGAUACGGCCCAGACUCCUACGGGGGGCAGCAGUGGGGAAUAUUGCACAAUGGGCGGAAGCCUGAUGCAGCAACGCCGCGUGCGGGAUGACGGCCUUCGGGUUGUAAACCGCUUUCGCCUGUGACGAAGCGUGAGUGACGGUAAUGGGUAAAGAAGCACCGGCUAACUACGU